RNA transcript from Gossypium raimondii (Peruvian cotton), 3568 nucleotides. It is a transcript of the gene named polyadenylate-binding protein 3-like, with no coding region annotated. The transcript is spliced from 2 exons. NCBI's taxonomy places the organism in Eukaryota, Viridiplantae, Streptophyta, Magnoliopsida, Malvales, Malvaceae. The record is from RefSeq and is a predicted model, not a curated record.
GGGGGGGCGGGACAGCAGAAUAGUCAGGCUUAGGCAAUGUCACUGACCAAGAUCUCUCAAGAUCUUCAGAAAAGGACACACCGACAUACCCAGCUCAUUGCUUCAACAUAUCACCUUGGUUUUGCCCUAACAAAAUGGAACUUUCUUAUAUUCAGAUUUCCCAUUUGAAAAUAUUUACCCAUUCUACAUUGACAGACAGAUGAUAUAAGUAUAUUCGGAUCAAGCUUACAAUCUUGGUUUUGUCGUCACAAUCAAAUCAAGAAUAAACACGUGCAAAUUUCCCCAACAACUUUCAUAAAGAGAAAAACACACCAUGUGAAUCACAGAAAGGUGGAACAAAGGCACAAAUUGAACAAUCAAGAGAUUUGACAACGAAAUAGCAACAAAAACUUAACGAGAACAAUUAACUGCAUGGAAUAGAAAUGUACCACAGAAGAUGAUACUAAUAAGGAAACUAGAAGCCUUCAGACAUACCCGAAGCAGAAGAGUCAGGAGGAGCCUGCUUUAUCACUGGAAGACUAAUACCUUAAUCACUGGGUUAUCGCCAUGUUUUUGCUAAAUUUUGUUGUUGAAUUGUACAUAUUGUUUUUUGGAGUGUUCUUGCCGAAAUUAAGAAUCAACUGGUUGGGAUAUUUGCAUUGUCCAUCUCCCUUGGAGUGCGAAUCAAGUGGCUGGCAAAACAGGGCGCUAACAUGGGUUUCGAGCUGCAAAUUUUUGUUUCCCCUCCUGCUGGUGCUUGGAAUUUGCUUUGUCAGGAUGUUUUUGAGAUCUUGUUCUCUAUAAUUUUUUUGAUAUCCUUCUUUAUUCAAAUAAAAUUAGGAUCAUGCUUUUUAGUUUGGCCAAAGGAUGUAGGAGUAGUUCUACCAGUUUGAUCCCUUCAACCCAAUUUGGUUUUAUGCUUGUGUACGUGUGGCUUGAAAUGCUCUGUUUUGUCCAUGUGCAUGUGCAUGAACAAUUAAAUCUUAGUUAUUACAGAUGGCGAGUUCAAUGUGAACUAAUUUCACCCAUAUGUAGUUAACAACUUAUUCAGGGGAAACAUUAAUUUAGUUUGGCACUGUUUAGGUGUACAAUUAAUAAAUGAUCUCAAUGUUUUGUACAUCUCUCUUACUCUCUAUUUCUUUAUAUGUCUUUGUAACAUCAGGUAGACUAUGCACGUACACCUGAGGAAGUUCACCAGCAAUUCCAAUCUUGUGCUCAGGGUAACAAUUUUGACAGACAAGUUUGGUCAACCUAAAGGAUUUUCCUAUGUUGAAUCGGUUGAAGUUGAUGCUGUUCAAAGUGCUCUACUGUUAAAUGAAUCAGAAUUGCAUGGUCAUCAGAUGCAGUCUGUUUUACUCUGUUGAGUAUGCAUUGGACAUGGGUGUCCCACAUGCUUAAUGAAAAGAUGGACUUCUGCAGCCAAUAAAUUGGAGCAAGCUGGUUUUCAGAAUAGCAUGUAUAACACCAGGGCUUCAAACUGUAAAACCAGGUUAAACAUCAACUGCUUGCUGUUGUAAUGACCGUGGUUGUGAUGUAUGCAGGGAGCAAAGCAUGAAAUAGUUCUUGUGUUUGCAGGUACGUUUGAUUCUGCAGGUACAACUAAGUUGCAAGAUGCUGGCAAAGCUGGUUUGGUCACAAUUCAAGGCAAGAAUUCAACCGUGCUUGGAACUGCACACAUUUGUUAGUGAUUCAAUAGCCAUAAAAAACUUCCGUUGAAGUCCUUUUUCUCUUUUAAUCUAACCUCAUGAAAUGGCGCAGGCGCGUAUCUGUUUAUAACUUUGUUCCCAGAUCAAGCGGAGAAGCUGCUUCAGAUGAGUCUUGCAAGGUAGCCACUGCAAAGUGAGUCCGGGUUAUACUUUACCCAACUAACAUCCGAGGCGGUCCAAAAUGAUUAUACCACCAAGAUUUGACCACCAAGAUGAUUCCUUACAAAAUUGCUUUAGUCAUCAAGCUGCCAAAUGAUUUUAUCGGCUCUCUAGGAGACCAGCUCGUGAAUAGAGAUGGUGUGUCUAGGAGAUCAUUAAGCAUCUCUUCCCAAUCGAAGAUUUCUUCUAAAGACAAGCCUCCAAGAGUAAUGGUCAAAUCUCUCAUCUACUGGAUAAUCAUGGACUGCAAUGAACCAUAUCUUCUCCUUUAUCUCUCUUUCUUUCUUUGGUUUCAAGAUUUCACUACGGUUAUAAAUAAAUUGUUUCUGAUAUUUGAAUCUUGCAGGCUGCACCAACUAGUCCCUCUAGGCCGGCUCUUGAAGCACCAGCAAGAACACGAUCAAGGGUUAGAUAGUUGUGCUGAAGUGUCAGAUAAUACUUUUCUACAGUUGGUUUGAGAGUUGAGAGCAUAAAGCAUAAAAUUUGGUUAUCUGAUUGGUUCUCUGAUUAAUGACUUCCAGCAUCCUAUUUAAAUUGCCAGCCAUAUAACUUAUUUCAUUGCUCUAAAAAUGUCAAACCGACUAACCGAAUUUGACCGGUUCGAAAAGUUCUUAGCUUCUUAGGAAGAAGUUCUUAGCUUCUUCUUUAUUGCUCUAAAAAGUUCGUUUUUAUUGCUCUAAAAAUGUAAUAUAUUUAUUAGUUUGAAUAGGUGAUAAACAGUGAACCUGUCUCGGGUGGCUCUGCUGCAUCUGUAUCAACCUGGGAAUGUGUUGUGUCACCUGGAAGCGAUACUUGUGGAAGCGUGAGGCAGACAUUAUCUUGCGGCCAAGUUGGCUUGAAGCCUGAUUGCGCAUAGAAACUAUUUGAUAAAAUGCUUAAGAAAAGCUAGUGUCUAUUGCUGCCUGACAUUGUUCCGCUCAGAAAUUUGACAUAUUAAGUUGGCAAUUUUUUAUAAGAAAAAUCUUUAGGCUUUCAUUCUUGCUAAUACUUUGAUGACUGCAAAACCAUUCUUAAUAUCUAAACUGUUUAUAACAACAUAUCUAGGAGUUUUGUUUGGACUGUAUUGAGGAAAAUGUUUUUCUAAUGUUUUCCUAACUUUGAAGAAAUUGGAUCGGAUUGGAUAAACACAGAAGCUCGUCCUGAGGAUCCGUUAGUUUCAAUCCUGGAAUUAGUUUGUCUGAACAAUAAAGAUGUUAACAUAGAAUAAGUAGAAAAAUGUGCUUUUGAGGUUUGAUGCUAGCAGGAGAAAAGCUUAGUCAAAUGGAAGAGGCGAACGAGUCGAAUUCCGGCAUUGUUUAACAUGCAGUGUUGAAAGCUGGCAACAUGAGAUUCCAGGCUGUUUGAUGUUGGAACCGGUGACAAUCGUUAUCUUCCAAAUGGAGUUGUGCUUGGUGAGGUUAUAUUCCCAGUUUAGUAAGGGUGUGAUUUAGAGGGGAUAGCUAGUAGCUUUAAGCAUUUGUAUUCUGAGAGCAAGUAGAUUUUCAUGUAUCUAGAGAGUCGUCGGAUUAUCGCAUCCUUUCAUUGGAGACUUGUGAGAUCUUCUUUUAUCUUUGUGUAAUCAUGCAACUCUCUCCGUGUAAUCCUAUGUUAAAUGUUAGUAGCUCUGUAUUAGGGAGUGAGCGUCGAAUAUUCGAUAUGUUGGAUAUGAAUAUGUUUCAUUCAUUGUGCUCUUAAGUUAUGUGAAUUGUAUUCAUAUAUUCAAUAUAUAUGAGUGGUUUAUGAUC